Molecule: long non-coding RNA, 263 nt
Organism: Priapulus caudatus
Lineage: Eukaryota; Metazoa; Priapulida; Priapulimorpha; Priapulimorphida; Priapulidae
Exons: 3
Source: RefSeq, a predicted model, not a curated record
AUAUAAAUUACAAACAGUGAAGCCUAUUUCUCAUGUUCAUAGAGCUUGCAAACUGAUUCAGUAUAUAAACUGAUUGACAAUACAGUGGUACGAUGGUGACAACCAUGGUGGCAGUAAAUACACGUAUAGCUACUCAUACAGAGCCACAGCCCAACAAGGAAUAUAGAGCCACAGCUCACCAAGGAAUACAGAGCCACAGCCCACCAAGAAAUAUAGAUGCGCACCAGCCACACAAGGAAUAUAGAGCCACAGCUCACGCAAGG